RNAcentral lists this ribosomal RNA (250 nucleotides) under uncultured prokaryote. RNAcentral's name for it is "partial 16S ribosomal RNA". It matches the Rfam family "Bacterial small subunit ribosomal RNA", at positions 524 to 773 of the family's 1533-position model. The record is from RNAcentral.
UACGUAGGUGGCAAGCGUUAUCCGGAAUUAUUGGGCGUAAAGCGCGCGCAGGCGGUUUCUUAAGUCUGAUGUGAAAGCCCACGGCUCAACCGUGGAGGGUCAUUGGAAACUGGGAAGCUUGAGUGCAGAAGAGGAGAGUGGAAUUCCAUGUGUAGCGGUGAAAUGCGUAGAGAUAUGGAGGAACACCAGUGGCGAAGGCGACUCUCUGGUCUGCAACUGACGCUGAGGCGCGAAAGCGUGGGGAGCGAAC